Molecule: ribosomal RNA, 393 nt
Filed under: uncultured bacterium
Lineage: Bacteria
Description: partial 16S ribosomal RNA
Rfam family: Bacterial small subunit ribosomal RNA
Source: RNAcentral
AUACGGAGGAUGCAAGCGUUAUCCGGAUUUAUUGGGUUUAAAGGGUGCGUAGGCGGUUUGCUAAGCGGGAGGUGAAAUGCCGGCGCUCAACGUCGGAAGUGCCUCCCGUACUGGUGGACUGGAAUGACUCUGCCGUGGGAGGAAUGUGUAGUGUAGCGGUGAAAUGCUUAGAGAUUACACAGAACACCGAUUGCGAAGGCAUCUCACGAAGGGUUGAUUGACGCUGAGGCACGAAAGCGUGGGGAUCAAACAGGAUUAGAUACCCUGGUAGUCCACGCAGUAAACGAUGAUGGCUAACCGCUGGUUUUUUCGGAUCAGUGGCCAAGCGAAAGCGAUAAGCCAUCCACCUGGGGAGUACGACCGCAAGGUUGAAACUCAAAUGAAUUGACGGGG